CUUUGUAGAUACAGGCACAGAAAGGGAACUACAUCUCUUGAGAGAGAAUUCACCUGUUUCUCUGGGAUAACCUUUGAAGAGGGAGUGAAUGAUUGAAAAAAGAAACAACUGUUCUUGCUAAGAAAGCCCAGUAAGUGUGAGUCUCAUUCCAGAGAUGAGACAAUUCUGCAAGGAAUUCUGCUGAAAAUCACCAUGGAUUUCCCUAGACAUUCCCUGCUUUCAGCUGUUUCCAACAGCAAGGUCUAAUGGCGAAAAAAUAGAAGUUUCCUUCUUCAUCCUCUGGGAAAGGAGAGAUAUACUGUUGCUAAGUCUGAUUGCAGUCUACAAAUACUGUCUCCUGCAUUGAAUUCUCACUGAAGUAUAAAUAACUUCUUAACCUCUGGCUGAUAAAGGCAGACUUGCAGGCUGUCAAACUGCUUUGCACACAGCCCUGACUGCAUCCUGGUCUGGAAGCACCUGGAACAAACUGUUUCACCUGGCCUGGGAGCAGCUGCACAGCCACAGUGCUGUGUUUGUCUCUGCUUCUUCCCAGGCAGUUGGAAGGGAUUAUUCCCCAGCCUGGUUCUUCUGCUUAUUACCAUGCUCUGCUGGAGGCAAUUUUCUUCACUGGUGUGCGAGUGUCUGCACCUACAUGAAGCUGCUCUCAAACAUAAAUCCUUUCCAGUAACUAUAUUGACAUAAAUGUUUUUGAUAGUGUGGAUUUUUAAAAUUGCUCAUUUUUUUUCAGGAAAACUUUAGGGGGUGUGUGUGCAUGCAUGUGUUGUCAAUCUGCAGCAACAGCAAGGAACAGGGCAAACAGCUGAAAAGCUGUUUUGGAAAAGUAGUGUCUCAGUGGUGUAAAUAGGGCAGUGUGUCUGACUAAACCUCCUUCUAUGGAGUAUGGCAGGAGCUGCCAUCACAACUGCAGGAAGAUAUCUUAUUGUCAUGCUUUACUGAAUGUAUGACAUCUUUUUUCUCCUACGUAACUAGUCAUCGAAUACUUGGCCCCUACUGGAAGUCAUUCUGAAAUGCUUAAAUUUCAUUUGUCUUUGAAAAUCUCCCCUUUCAUUUUGCCAGUGCCCAACAGCAUGCAAGUCCAGCUAAUUUUGAGAUACUUAAUGGAAGAACAAAUUUUAUAACGUGAAAACAUUGUAUUUUACAAACCUGUUUUGCAUUGCAAAACCCAUAGUGAAGUUGAAUCAGAGGCUUGGCACUGCUAAUUGAUUAUUUGAUAUGCUUUAGCUAAUGUUGUUAUGCUGCCAAAGAUGUGCGUUUCUCUUUUCCCCUUUUUCUCAUUAUGAGGACAAGUUGAUAAAUUAUUUUUUUUACUUUUGAUUUGCACUAAAUUUUCUUUUGUGAAGCUAAGUCUUUUCCCCCUUUUUCUCAGAAAAUUUGGUAAAU
This 1380-nucleotide long non-coding RNA is filed under the name Phasianus colchicus (ring-necked pheasant). Its description in RNAcentral is "lncRNA (ENSPCLG00000008156.1)". The record is from RNAcentral. Lineage: Eukaryota; Metazoa; Chordata; Aves; Galliformes; Phasianidae.